This 671-nucleotide long non-coding RNA is filed under the name Chinchilla lanigera (long-tailed chinchilla). RNAcentral's name for it is "lncRNA (ENSCLAG00000027644.1)". The record is from RNAcentral. Lineage: Eukaryota; Metazoa; Chordata; Mammalia; Rodentia; Chinchillidae.
UUUUAGCAAGGAUAAUAAAUGUUUUAGAAAGCAUUCACAUAAUGGAGCAUGCUAGAAAUAAUACUAAAUAUCAUCUUUAUUUUAAUUAAAUUUUCUUUGAAAGACUAAUGCUAUUUUUUUAAUCAACAGGAACAAAAAUUUUGGUGGACAAGGAUGUGGGCUCUGAAAUCCUACAAUUGCGAGCAAUGGGGGAGCAAUUCCAUCAGCCACACAGCUCCUAAGUGUCACUUUUAGCAGAAGCAACUUGGAAAAGUCAGACAUGAAGAAUGUAGCCAAGACGUCCUGAGAGAGAAGUUCCAGGUCCUUAACAAGCAUAGUUCCCUUUAUAUCAGCAUAACUAAUAAACUCUGCUGUGUUUGAGAACGCUAAAGGAUGGAAUGAACCUUAACUGUGCCCAUGAAUUAGAGCAUUUUGUGGGAUGGCAAAUGAUGAUCAAAAGAUUUUUCAAAUAGCUUUCAUAAUUCCCUGUAUCCUGGCCACAUUUCCAUGUCUCUGUAAAGAGCUCAGGCUGUGAAACAAAGAAGGAAAAUUCCAAAAUUUAAGAAUUUCUGCUUACUUCAGCACUCAGCAUGGUGAGUACUUGAUGUGGCUGUGGGAAAUCCUUCAGAGAUUAAUUUACAAUAAACGGCAGAGCGUUCAGAGAUUUAGGAUUUUUCUAACAUUAUUGAAAC